This 557-nucleotide long non-coding RNA is filed under the name Oryzias sinensis (Chinese medaka). Its description in RNAcentral is "lncRNA (ENSOSIG00000022454.1)". The record is from RNAcentral. Lineage: Eukaryota; Metazoa; Chordata; Actinopteri; Beloniformes; Adrianichthyidae.
GAGUUUUUUCUAGUGAUUUUAUAUUAGCCUCGUGCUCAGAGGAGGGGGGGCAGGUUUUUAUUUUUAUUGAACAUUUGCUGAAUACAAAAAUGGAACAUUUAUAACAAUACAACAUCAGAAUACAACACAAUUCCAAAUGCAGAAUAAAAUUGUUUCAACCUGAUGAUAACCUUAACUGUUAAGAACAAAAUUAUAAGUACUAUUCAUUUCUAAAACAAAGUGGGGUUCAAUAAUAACCAAAUGAGGUGACCGCCUCGUGCGCGUAAAGACGCGCGUCAGUAUCGCCCUCAUCAGUUUCCGGAGCUCGCGCCGGGGAGUGAGCAGCUUCACGCGCGCGGAUCAAAUCGAUUAGAUGUGAUCUUUGCGCCGUCUGGGUCCGGAAACCGUCCCUGCAGCCGCUCCUCGGACUCUCCGACAUACAGGAGGACGCGCGUGUUUCAAUUCUCCUCUUAGAAAGAUCUCCCAUUCAUGAACAGAGACAUUCAGCGUCCCGUCUCCCUGAGGAUGACCCCGUGUUUCCCUGCAGGAUCCAGCUCUGUCUGAUCUUCUUCCUGUAA